This 421-nucleotide ribosomal RNA is filed under the name uncultured bacterium. RNAcentral describes it as "partial 16S ribosomal RNA". It matches the Rfam family "Bacterial small subunit ribosomal RNA", at positions 361 to 774 of the family's 1533-position model. The record is from RNAcentral.
AUAUUGGACAAUGGGGGCAACCCUGAUCCUGACAUGCCGCGUGUGUGUAGUAGGUCUUCGGAUUGUAAAGCUCAUUAAGUUGGAAGGAAGGGUUUUCGGUUAAUACCCUGAAGAUUUGACGUUACCAACAGAAUAAGCACCGGCUAACUCCGCGCCGUCAGCCACGGUAAUACAUAGGAUGCCAGCGUUAAUCGGAAUUACUGGGCGCAAAGCGAGCGUAGGUAGUUCAGUAAGAGUGGUGUGAAAUCCCCGGGCUUAACCUGGGAAGUGCUGUCAUAACUGAUGAGGUAGAGUACGGUAGAGAGUAGUGGAAUUUCCUGUGUAGCGGUGAAAUGAGUAGAUAUAGGAAGGAACGCCAGUGGCGAAGGCGACUAGCUAGACUGAUACUGACACUGAGGUGCGAAAGCGUGGAGAGCAAACA